Molecule: ribosomal RNA, 383 nt
Filed under: uncultured eukaryote
Lineage: Eukaryota
Description: partial 18S ribosomal RNA
Rfam family: Eukaryotic small subunit ribosomal RNA
Source: RNAcentral
CAAUAGCGUAUAUUAAAGUUGUUGCAGUUAAAAAGCUCGUAGUUGGAUUUCUGGUGGGAGCGAUCGGUCUGGCGCUUAGCGCGAGUACUUGCAUCGUCUCCGGCCAUCCUUGGGGAGAGUCUGUCUGGCAUUAGGUUGUCGGGCAGAGGAUCCUCAUCGUUCACUGUGAAAAAAUUAGAGUGUUCAAAGCAGGCUUAUGCCGUUGAAUAUAUUAGCAUGGAAUAAUAAGAUAGGACUUUGGUACUAUUUUGUUGGUUUGCGCACCAAAGUAAUGAUUAAUAGGGACAGUUGGGGGUACUCGUAUUCCGUUGUCAGAGGUGAAAUUCUUGGAUUUACGGAAGACGAACUACUGCGAAAGCAUUUACCAAGGAUGUUUUCAUUAA